CGCCCACCCGUGUACCACCAGGUUGUGGUUCUUGUAAUCAUAACGGCGUAACGGGAGUUUGUAUUCCAUGUCGGUGAACAUCGCGUCUGAGUCCACCCACCAGAUCCACUCUGCCUCUGGAUGAGCCAGCAUCGCCGCCUUCACCGUCGGCAGUUUCGCCCAGAAACUGUUCAUUUUAGGGUGGAGCAGCACGUUGUUGUAGAAGAUAUCGUAACCGUGGAUUCUGCAAUAGUCCACUUUAUUCUUGAAGAAUCUUAAAAGAAAAUGGUCGCCGAUUGGGUUCUUACACGGCCCCGACUGCGAUCCAGUCAGCAUCACCACUCGAUCGCGAGCGCCAGGGGCGAACGAAGGGUGAAGCUUCAGCCACUCCUUUCUCUUCUCAUCCCAGUCUUUCACAGGCUGCUCGAUGGAAUAUCUCAGCUCCGGAUCAUCGUAGAAUGUUCUAUCAGGCGGGUCAUACCGGAGGUUAACCGCCGGGUUUUCCUUUACGCAACUUCGUGAAUCGGAACCAACCUUGAUAUUUAAAUCAGUGACAUUAGGCUCAAAAUUACCGGCAUAAGACCAAAGAGACCAAAUGAGCAAAAAGGCAAGCAAAGCACCACCAAGAUA
Molecule: unclassified non-coding RNA, 609 nt
Filed under: Hevea brasiliensis (rubber tree)
Lineage: Eukaryota; Viridiplantae; Streptophyta; Magnoliopsida; Malpighiales; Euphorbiaceae
Source: RNAcentral